This 1350-nucleotide ribosomal RNA is filed under the name uncultured bacterium. RNAcentral describes it as "16S ribosomal RNA". It matches the Rfam family "Bacterial small subunit ribosomal RNA", at positions 93 to 1443 of the family's 1533-position model. The record is from RNAcentral.
GAGUGGCGAACGGGUGAGUAACACGUAGGCAACCUGCCCUUUGGUGGGGGAUAACAUUCCGAAAGGGGUGCUAAUACCGCAUGAGGUAAUCGAGUCGCAUGGCUUGAUUAUCAAAGGCUUCGGCCGCCGAAGGAUGGGCCUGCGCGCUGUUAGCUUGUUGGUGAGGUAAAAGCUCACCAAGGCUACAAUGGCUAGCCGGUCUGAGAGGAUGAUCGGCCACACUGGGACUGAGAUACGGCCCAGACUCCUACGGGAGGCAGCAGUGAGGAAUAUUGCACAAUGGGCGAAAGCCUGAUGCAGCUACCCCGCGUGUGGGAUGAAGUUCUUGCGAACGUAAACCACCGUUAGGAGAGACGACUAAGAGGUUUUGCCUCGAAUGACGGUAUCUCCAGCGAAAGCACCGGCUAACUCCGUGCCAGCAGCCGCGGUAAUACGGGGGGUGCAAGCGUUGUCCGGAAUCACUGGGCGUAAAGGGCGCGUAGGCGGGACUGUGAGUCUGGGGUGAAAGUUCGGGGCUUAACUUCGAAUUGGCCUUGGAUACUGCAGUUCUUGAGUUCGGUAGAGGGAUGCGGAAUUCCUGGUGUAGCGGUGGAAUGCGUAGAUAUCAGGAAGAACACCGGUGGCGAAGGCGGCAUCCUGGACCGAAACUGACGCUGAGGCGCGAAAGCGUGGGUAGCAAACAGGAUUAGAUACCCUGGUAGUCCACGCCGUAAACGAUGAGAACUAGAUGUCGGGGGGAUUUGCCCUUCGGUGUCGCAGUUAACGCAUUAAGUUCUCCGCCUGGGGAGUACGCCGGCAACGGUAAAACUCAAAGGAAUUGACGGGGACCCGCACAAGCGGUGGAGCAUGUGGUUUAAUUCGAUGCAACGCGAAGAACCUUACCUGCCCUUGACAUCCUCGGAACUUGUCAGAGAUGACUUGGUGCCUUCGGGAACCGAGUGACAGGUGCUGCAUGGCUGUCGUCAGCUCGUGUCGUGAGAUGUUGGGUUAAGUCCCGCAACGAGCGCAACCCUUGUCCCUAGUUGCCAACACUUCGGGUGGGAACUCUAGGGAGACCGCCGGUGACAAACCGGAGGAAGGUGGGGACGACGUCAAGUCAUCAUGGCCCUUAUGGGCAGGGCUACACACGUGCUACAAUGGCGCGUACAGAGGGUUGCCAGCCAGCAAUGGUGAGCUAAUCCCUUAAAGCGCGUCGUAGUCCGGAUCGGAGUCUGCAACUCGACUCCGUGAAGUCGGAAUCGCUAGUAAUCGCGAAUCAGAAUGUCGCGGUGAAUACGUUCCCGGGUCUUGUACACACCGCCCGUCACACCAUGGAAGUUGGUUGCACCAGAAGUAGGUAGCCUAACCCUC